This 468-nucleotide ribosomal RNA is filed under the name uncultured bacterium. Its description in RNAcentral is "partial 16S ribosomal RNA". It matches the Rfam family "Bacterial small subunit ribosomal RNA", at positions 28 to 507 of the family's 1533-position model. The record is from RNAcentral.
GACGAACGCUGGCGGCGUGCUUAACACAUGCAAGUCGAACGGAAAGGCCCUGCUUUUGUGGGGUGCUCGAUUGGCGAACGGGUGAGUAACACGUGAGUAUCCUGCCCCUGACUUUGGGAUAACUUCAGGAAACUGGGGCUCAUACCGGAUAUGAUCUCCUGCUGCAUGGUGGGGGUUGGUAAGUUUCGGCGGUUGGGGAUGGACUCGCGGCUUAUCAGCUUCUUGGUGUGGUAGUUGCUUACCAAGGCUUUGACGGGUAGCCGGCCUGAGAGGGGUACCGGGGUCAUUGGGACUGAGGUACGGACCAGAAGCGUACGGGAGGCAGCAGUGGGGAGUAUGGCAGAAUGAGCGGGAGCCAGAGACAGCGACGCCGCGUGCGGAAUGACGGCCUUCGGGUGAUGAACAGCUUUCGCAUGUGACGAAGAGUGAGUGACGGUAAUGGGUAAAGAAGCACCGGCUAACUACGUG